UGGGGAAUAUUGCGCAAUGGGCGAAAGCCUGACGCAGCAACGCCGCGUGAGUGAUGAAGGCCUUCGGGUCGUAAAGCUCUGUCGGAGGGAACGAAUGCUCUUGAGGUUAACAGCCUCGGGAGGUGACGGUACCCUCAAAGGAAGCACCGGCUAACUCUGUGCCAGCAGCCGCGGUAAUACAGAGGGUGCAAGCGUUGUUCGGAAUCAUUGGGCGUAAAGGGCGUGUAGGCGGUAUGUUAAGUCAUGUGUGAAAUCCCUCGGCUCAACCGGGGAACGACGCAUGAAACUAGCAAGCUAGAGUACCAAAGAGGGUGGUGGAAUUCCCGGUGUAGCGGUGGAAUGCGUAGAUAUCGGGAGGAACACCUGUGGCGAAGGCGGCCACCUGGUUGGAUACUGACGCUGAGACGCGAAAGCGUGGGGAGCAAACAGGAUUAGAUACCCCAGUAGUCCCUGAGCGGGCUGGCAAGGCGCAU
RNAcentral lists this ribosomal RNA (473 nucleotides) under uncultured bacterium. RNAcentral's name for it is "bacterial SSU rRNA". It matches the Rfam family "Bacterial small subunit ribosomal RNA", at positions 355 to 825 of the family's 1533-position model. The record is from RNAcentral.